AUUGAACGCUGGCGGCAUGCCUUACACAUGCAAGUCGAACGGCAGCGGACCUUCGGGUGCCGGCGAGUGGCGAACGGGUGAGUAAUAUAUCGGAACGUACCUUUCAGUGGGGGAUAACGUAGCGAAAGUUACGCUAAUACCGCAUAUUCUGUGAGCAGGAAAGCAGGGGAUCGCAAGACCUUGCGCUGAUUGAGCGGCCGAUAUCAGAUUAGCUAGUUGGUGAGGUAAAGGCUCACCAAGGCGACGAUCUGUAGCGGGUCUGAGAGGAUGAUCCGCCACACUGGAACUGAGACACGGUCCAGACUCCUACGGGAGGCAGCAGUGGGGAAUUUUGGACAAUGGGCGCAAGCCUGAUCCAGCCAUGCCGCGUGAGUGAAGAAGGCCUUCGGUGUAAGACCUUCGGUCCGGACGGAAACGUAGCGGGCGAACGA
This 431-nucleotide ribosomal RNA is filed under the name uncultured bacterium. Its description in RNAcentral is "bacterial SSU rRNA". It matches the Rfam family "Bacterial small subunit ribosomal RNA", at positions 30 to 468 of the family's 1533-position model. The record is from RNAcentral.